CCUACGGGGGGCAGCAGUGAGGAAUAUUGGUCAAUGGGCGCGAGCCUGAACCAGCCAAGUAGCGUGAAGGAUGACUGCCCUACGGGUUGUAAACUUCUUUUAUAAAGGAAUAAAGUGAGGCACGUGUGCCUUUUUGUAUGUACUUUAUGAAUAAGGAUCGGCCAACUCCGUGCCAGCAGCCGCGGUAAUACGGAGGAUCCGAGCGUUAUCCGGAUUUUUUGGGUUUAAAGGGAGCGUAGGUGGGUUGUUAAGUUAGUCGUGAAAGUUUGCGGCUCAACCGUAAAAUUGCAAUUGAAACUGGCGGCCUUGAGUACAGUUGAGGUAGGCGGAAUUCGUGGUGUAGCGGUGAAAUGCUUAGAUAUCACGAAGAACUCCGAUUGCGAAGGCAGCUUACUAAACUGCCACUGACGUUGAUGCUCGAAAGUGUGGGUAUCGAACAGGAUUAGAUACCCUUGUAGUC
RNAcentral lists this ribosomal RNA (460 nucleotides) under uncultured bacterium. Its description in RNAcentral is "partial 16S ribosomal RNA". It matches the Rfam family "Bacterial small subunit ribosomal RNA", at positions 338 to 795 of the family's 1533-position model. The record is from RNAcentral.